RNAcentral lists this transfer RNA (82 nucleotides) under Echinostoma caproni. It matches the Rfam family "tRNA". From Rfam's summary of the family: Transfer RNA (tRNA) molecules are approximately 80 nucleotides in length. Lineage: Eukaryota; Metazoa; Platyhelminthes; Trematoda; Plagiorchiida; Echinostomatidae. The record is from Rfam by way of RNAcentral.
GGCUUUGUAGCUCAACUGGUAGAGCAUACGCGUAAUAAGCAUAGGCGGCGUAUAUGCGUGGGUUUGAAUCACACCUAGGUUA